AGGGGCGAUCAUACCAGCACUGAUGCAUCGGAUCCCAUCACAACUCCACAAUUAAGCGUCUUGGGGCGAGAGUAGUACUAGGAUGGGUGACCUUUUGGGAAGUCCUUUUGGUGCACCUC
Lupinus angustifolius (narrow-leaved blue lupine) is the source of this 119-nucleotide non-coding RNA. The record is from Rfam. NCBI's taxonomy places the organism in Eukaryota, Viridiplantae, Streptophyta, Magnoliopsida, Fabales, Fabaceae.